CCGGAGCUAAUACCGAAUAACCCAGUGAACUGCAUGGUUCACUGGUAAAAGGCGGUUUCGGCCGUCACUCAUGGAUGGGCCCGCGGCGCAUUAGCUAGUUGGUAAGGUAACGGCUUACCAAGGCAACGAUGCGUAGCCGACCUGAGAGGGUGAUCGGCCACACUGGGACUGAGACACGGCCCAGACUCCUACGGGAGGCAGCAGUAGGGAAUCUUCCGCAAUGGACGAAAGUCUGACGGAGCAACGCCGCGUGAACGAUGAAGGUCUUCGGAUCGUAAAGUUCUGUUGUUAGGGAAGAACAAGUACCAGAGGAAAUGCUGGUACCUUGACGGUACCUAACCAGAAAGCCACGGCUAACUACGUGCCAGCAGCCGCGGUAAUACGUAGGUGGCAAGCGUUGUCCGGAAUUAUUGGGCGUAAAGCGCGCGCAGGCGGUUUCUUAAGUCUGAUGUGAAAGCCCACAGCUCAACUGUGGAGGGCCAUUGGAAACUGGGGAACUUGAGUACAGAAGAGGAGAGUGGAAUUCCACGUGUAGCGGUGAAAUGCGUAGAUAUGUGGAGGAACACCAGUGGCGAAGGCGACUCUCUGGUCUGUAACUGACGCUGAGGCGCGAAAGCGUGGGUAGCAAACAGGAUUAGAUACCCUGGUAGUCCACGCCGUAAACGUUGAGUGCUAG
Molecule: ribosomal RNA, 676 nt
Filed under: Pontibacillus chungwhensis
Lineage: Bacteria; Bacillati; Bacillota; Bacilli; Caryophanales; Bacillaceae
Description: bacterial SSU rRNA
Rfam family: Bacterial small subunit ribosomal RNA
Source: RNAcentral